GCUGCAGCAGCUGGGCUGCUAACGCACACGGCUGACAUCAGCCAGGCUGGGUUUUUGCAAGCAACUCAUUCUGUUUUUUCCAGACAAAAUCAGUUUUAGCUGCAAAAUCCAGUUUUCCAGUAUUCAUGGGUUGUGUGAAAAACGGAGGACAAAGGGAAGAUGCAGUGAAAACAAGUGAUGCAGCUGCCUCGUUCUUUUGCUCUCCUAAACCCAGCUCAUCUGCCUGGCACCCCUGGAAGCCUCUGCCUUCUGUCACUUUCUUAAGUGCACGUACCAGCUGAUCAAAUACUUUAUUAAAUUAGACGCUGAAUUAAAAUUUUUAAAAAAAUUUUAAAAAAGCCAGAAAGAAAAAAGAAAAAAAAAAAAGAGCCAUACAGUAUGAGCAAAGGAAUCCAGUUUCUCAGAACUAUAAAUUUCAAAUCCAUCUGGUCUGGGAGGGGGACAAUAAAAAUAUAUGGAAAGUGAUUAAGAAGUGCUCCACGAUACCCACUCUAGCUAGCUACCACAGAUCCUCUGGACCACGCAGUGCAUUUAUACCACAGCUAAGCAGCUCCAGGAGAUGCAUAAAUGAAUAUCACUGCCUCCAGUGAAUGUAAGAGAAAGCAGACAAGCAGUCACUUGCCCAAGGCGACGCUUUAAAUCAGCGUUAGAACUGGGAAUAAAAUUCCCAAGUCAUUCUGCUUUCCUGGUUCAGGCACCAUUCAGUGGAUUGCAGCACAAAAAGAAAAAAAAAAA
Non-coding RNA from Cyanistes caeruleus (blue tit), 735 nucleotides. The record is from RefSeq and is a predicted model, not a curated record. NCBI's taxonomy places the organism in Eukaryota, Metazoa, Chordata, Aves, Passeriformes, Paridae.